CACAGUACCAAAUUCACUAAUCCUGUGCUGAUUUAUAUUUCUGGAUUAAUUGCAGUGAAUAAGGAGCAUCACACCGGUGUAAAACUCAUGUGAAGGAGAUGAGAAUCAAGCCCAGAGGGAACAGAGGAGCUGCAAUGCAGGAGCCAGUCCUCCCUGAGCAACAGUUAAGUGAAGGAAGAAGAGCUUCCAGAGCUAACUAAGAGUUAACUGGCUACGUUUCAACUGUCACCAUUGUCUUACAUCUACAUAGAGAGCAGGAGAGAGUCUGAGAGAUGUACUUAGCACUUCUGAAAUGCAAGCUCAAGGCAGGUGGUGUUGAACAUCUACGUUUGGAGAAGUCUUUCUGGAGACCUGAUGGAAAUUAUUUGCUCAAAUAUUAGUGGUAAGGCAUGCGCUCAGUGGUCAAUGCAACUGUUAGAAGGUGGCUUCCCUCACACUGUGUGAAAGUCCGUCUCCGAUACCCCAGGUUUCUCC
Molecule: long non-coding RNA, 474 nt
Filed under: Calidris pygmaea (Spoon-billed sandpiper)
Lineage: Eukaryota; Metazoa; Chordata; Aves; Charadriiformes; Scolopacidae
Description: lncRNA (ENSCPGG00000012666.1)
Source: RNAcentral